CCUUCCAGCGCCUCUUCCCUUUAUUAGCUGCUUAAUUGUAUUCUCUUUCCCUAUCUCCAGGCCUCUGAAACCACUUCUGCCUAACUCUGUUGCCAGGUUCUCACAAUCCCAGCACCCCAUGUCUGUGAGCUACAGGGACUCUCGUCUGAGCUUUGACCCGAGCCCCUCGCUCCUGAAGGACAAGCCCCCUCCCGCAGAAGGCUGUACUGCCCCUGGCCUGAGAAGUCGGGCCUUGGCUGAGGUUCACAUCCAAAUACUGCUGGGUAGGGAACACCCCCCUCAGAGCACUGUCACAGGGAGAAAACAGAUAUAAGCUUCGAUGAAGGAAAGCUAAGAUGAUGAAAUAAUAGGACCAAACUGAAAAUCACUGUAGAGUUGUUGCUUCUUUAUGUUCACUGUCAUUCUUGGUGUUUUCUACAUGAGUGAAAUGGAUGUAUAAUCAGAAUGGAUUUUUCAGACUAUGCUGAAGAAAGGGAAAUGAGUGUCGAGUUGUGGGCAGAAUUGAUUGGCAUGCAUGAGAACCCUGAGCCACAUGGACAGAAGUGAAUGAGCCAUAGUCUUUGGCUCCUUGCUCCACUUUGGAAGGAGUCAGUGGAUGUUUCUCUGCAGUGCACAGAGUGUCAUGUGUCGUUGAUGAGCAUGUACCUCUGCCUGGAGUUCAUUCUUGUAAAAACACUGGACACUCACGCUUGCCAGGAACAGUACCCGAGAGCGCACAGCAGAGCCGACCUGCAGGCGUCUCCAGCCCAAGGCAUCAGAGCUCGAAGAGUGGGAAUGCCAAUCACCAUGCCCCUGCCCGCCACCGCCGUCCCUCCUAAGAACUGCCCUGGCCCAGGCCUGAGGGAUGACAGAGCACAGAGGCAGUGGAGUUUUAUGUGGAAGACCCAACCCCCCCGGCUGCAGCUAGCGAGGUCAGAUCUUUAGGAAAAGUCCCUGCAGUCACAUUUCCUUUCUCAUGAAUUCAACACAGGAAUCUCGUCUAGACCAGGUCUUUGCAGGUGAAGUGAAAGCCCAAAGGUGAUGAUGGAAACUCAGACUUCAUGGCCUUACUUGUGGAUGCCUGAACCUACGGUUUGACAGAAGUAGCUCAGAGCUGGAGCGGGAGGAAGGCUGUGGAGUCAGACAUUAUUGGAACGAGUUACACAACACCAUGAAAACACAAUGAGGCAAAUCCAGAUGGUAGGGCCACCCAACUCCAUACAACUUUGUGCAAUGAUGGGAAUCUGUGCUGUCCACUACAGUAGCCACGAGGAACACGU
Long non-coding RNA from Molossus molossus (Pallas's mastiff bat), 1259 nucleotides. RefSeq lists it as uncharacterized. The transcript is spliced from 7 exons. Lineage: Eukaryota; Metazoa; Chordata; Mammalia; Chiroptera; Molossidae. The record is from RefSeq and is a predicted model, not a curated record.